CCGAUCAUAUAGGUGCAGCUUGACAAUUCCGUGGGAUAUUGGAGAUGAACAAACUACAACAUUCACAUCCCCAAUUUUGCCAAAUCGUUCAAGGUGACAACUCCAAGGAUGAGCAUCGACAUGAUCCAGAACAUGUUCAAAUUCUAACUCCAAAGAAGGUGUGCACCACAUAAAUUGACAUUUUUUCCUUAAGAUCCUACCGUGUCUAAUAUAAUGCUCUUUUUUAUUUAUUUUUUGUUAAUUAACAGUGCCAUCGUGGAGGACCCAGGGUGGUUGGAGCGGCCAAAGCACAGCGUGACGCGGCCCGAAGAGCCCCAACUGCCUGACUGCCAAGCUGCGAUCGAUCCCAGAGCCCUGCCGGUGAACGUCGCUGGGCGACUGGCACAUUCAUAUGGUCAUGUUCAUCGUCCUGCUUCGGAGUUGCACGAGAUCAUCACACAGCUCCUUCGCCGCUUAUCUGCUUCGGAGUCGCACAGGGUAAUUCAUGUCUCCAGAAGAAUCUAUCAUUCAAGUCUUAAACAAAGAAGCCGAUGAGGUUGUUGCGUUGCGUCAAAUUUGGCAGUGGCACCAAGCAAAAGUUGAUGCCAUUUGACUAUAGCUGAAUCACAGCUCCGUACCCGGAGGGGUAAAAAAAAACUCCACUCAUCAACUGAGCAAAGUAUUUUCAUCCUUUGGCAAAGGAUUGCACAAAUGCAACACAUUUGUUGCAAAAGUAUCUGAGGCUUGCAGAGUUUGGAAUUGCACAACAACGAGUGACUGCACAAUGACUGUACGCCAGCGGGCAGGAAAAAUGAAUUCUACGCCAACUGUGUGUUUAGCUCAAUGCCUGAUAAUGAUAAGCCUCGAUGAGAUGCAGAGCUUGGACGUUUGCCAAGCGUGUUGUUAA
Molecule: long non-coding RNA, 886 nt
Filed under: Setaria italica (foxtail millet)
Lineage: Eukaryota; Viridiplantae; Streptophyta; Magnoliopsida; Poales; Poaceae
Description: long non-coding RNA (SITA_LNC006254)
Source: RNAcentral